RNAcentral lists this ribosomal RNA (440 nucleotides) under Lancefieldella rimae. Its description in RNAcentral is "bacterial SSU rRNA". It matches the Rfam family "Bacterial small subunit ribosomal RNA", at positions 28 to 479 of the family's 1533-position model. Lineage: Bacteria; Bacillati; Actinomycetota; Coriobacteriia; Coriobacteriales; Atopobiaceae. The record is from RNAcentral.
GAUGAACGCUGGCGGCGCGCCUAACACAUGCAAGUCGAACGGUUAAAGCACCUUUUAGGUGUAUAUAAAGUGGCGAACGGCUGAGUAACACGUGGGCAACCUGCCCUCCUCUUGGGGAUAGCCUCGGGAAACCGAGGAUAAUACCCGAUACUUCAAUGUGGCCGCAUGACGACAUUGAGAAAGCUUUUGCGGAGAAGGAUGGGCCCGCGGCCUGUUAGCUUGUUGGUGGGGUAGAGGCCUACCAAGGCAAUGAUGGGUAGCUGGGUUGAGAGACCGACCAGCCAGAUUGGGACUGAGACACGGCCCAGACUCCUACGGGAGGCAGCAGUGGGGAAUCUUGCACAAUGGGCGAAAGCCUGAUGCAGCGACGCCGCGUGCGGGACGAAGGCCUUCGGGUUGUAAACCGCUUUCAGCAGGGACGAGGCGAUAAGGACGGUACC